CAGUCGCCGCGGUAAUACGUAGGGUGCGAGCGUUAAUCGGAAUUACUGGGCGUAAAGCGUGCGCAGGCGGUUUUGUAAGACAGGCGUGAAAUCCCCGGGCUCAACCUGGGAAUGGCGCUUGUGACUGCAAAGCUAGAGUGCGGCAGAGGGGGAUGGAAUUCCGCGUGUAGCAGUGAAAUGCGUAGAUAUGCGGAGGAACACCGAUGGCGAAGGCAAUCCCCUGGGCCUGCACUGACGCUCAUGCACGAAAGCGUGGGGAGCAAACAGGAUUAGAUACCCGGGUAGUCCCUGUCUCUUAUCC
This 301-nucleotide ribosomal RNA is filed under the name uncultured bacterium. RNAcentral's name for it is "partial 16S ribosomal RNA". It matches the Rfam family "Bacterial small subunit ribosomal RNA", at positions 509 to 809 of the family's 1533-position model. The record is from RNAcentral.